AUUGAACGCUGGCGGCAUGCCUUACACAUGCAAGUCGAACGGCAACAGGUCUUCGGAUGCUGACGAGUGGCGAACGGGUGAGUAAUACAUCGGAACGUGCCCAAUCGUGGGGGAUAACGCAGCGAAAGCUGUGCUAAUACCGCAUAAGAUCUACGGAUGAAANCGGGGGAUCGCAAGACCUCGCGCGAGUGGAGCGGCCGAUGGCAGAUUAGGUAGUUGGUGAGGUAAAGGCUCACCAAGCCUGCGAUCUGUAGCUGGUCUGAGAGGACGACCAGCCACACUGGAACUGAGACACGGUCCAGACUCCCACGGGAGGCAGCAGUGGGGAAUUUUGGACAAUGGGCGCAAGCCUGAUCCAGCAAUGCCGCGUGCAGGAUGAAGGCCUUCGGGUUGUAAACUGCUUUUGUACGGAACGAAAAGGUCUCUUCUAAUAAAGGGGGCCCAUGACGGUACCGUAAGAAUAAGCACCGGCUAACUACGUG
This 482-nucleotide ribosomal RNA is filed under the name uncultured bacterium. RNAcentral describes it as "bacterial SSU rRNA". It matches the Rfam family "Bacterial small subunit ribosomal RNA", at positions 30 to 507 of the family's 1533-position model. The record is from RNAcentral.